This 253-nucleotide ribosomal RNA is filed under the name uncultured bacterium. RNAcentral's name for it is "partial 16S ribosomal RNA". It matches the Rfam family "Bacterial small subunit ribosomal RNA", at positions 524 to 776 of the family's 1533-position model. The record is from RNAcentral.
UACGUAGGGUGCAAGCGUUAAUCGGAAUUACUGGGCGUAAAGCGUGCGCAGGCGGUUUUGUAAGUCUGAUGUGAAAUCCCCGGGCUCAACCUGGGAAUUGCAUUGGAGACUGCAAGGCUAGAAUCUGGCAGAGGGGGGUAGAAUUCCACGUGUAGCAGUGAAAUGCGUAGAGAUGUGGAGGAACACCGAUGGCGAAGGCAGCCCCCUGGGCUAACACUGACGCUCAUGCACGAAAGCGUGGGGAGCAAACAGG